AGAGGGUGGGUCCCCAGCCAAGCCGGGCCACUCCACAGAAGCCCUCAGAGCGCUGGUGCCUGGUCAGAGCGUGCAAAGAGUAGGCUUGCCUGAUGAAGAGGAGAGAAAAGAAAACUUUAGCUGCAAAGAUCCAGAUCAUGGGCCACUGGGAGCCUCUCCCUGGAGAAGACAGCCCCACCAAACCUGAAGAUUCCAAAGUCCUGGCUGAAAUCAUAGCUACAGACGCCGUAUGUCGAGCUGGCAUUGAAUUCACUCCCUGCCAAGUCCUGAGCAAGCUUAGCGAGGCUGCGACAUAAAGAUCAGUCACUCCAGAGACCCUGCCUUCAAAGCUGCUCUGCCAUGGCUCCUGCACUCACGCGAAAUGUUGUGCUGUCGCCAAGUGAACAUAAUGACGAGUGCAUUGAAUGUUAAUUACAGCAUGG
Molecule: long non-coding RNA, 422 nt
Filed under: Rhinopithecus bieti (black snub-nosed monkey)
Lineage: Eukaryota; Metazoa; Chordata; Mammalia; Primates; Cercopithecidae
Description: lncRNA (ENSRBIG00000045622.1)
Source: RNAcentral